RNAcentral lists this ribosomal RNA (253 nucleotides) under uncultured bacterium. RNAcentral's name for it is "partial 16S ribosomal RNA". It matches the Rfam family "Bacterial small subunit ribosomal RNA", at positions 524 to 776 of the family's 1533-position model. The record is from RNAcentral.
UACGUAGGGGGCUAGCGUUGUCCGGAAUUAUGGGGCGUAAAGAGCGUGUAGGCGGCCAAGUAGGUCCGGUGUGAAAACUCGAGGCUUAACCUCGAGAUGUCAUCGGAAACCAUUUGGCUAGAGUCCGGAAGAGGAAAGUGGAAUUCCUGGUGUAGCGGUGAAAUGCGUAGAUAUCAAGAGGAACACCUGAGGUGAAGACGGGUUGCUAGGCUGACACUGACGCUGAGGCGCGAAAUCCAGGGGAGCAAACGGG